RNAcentral lists this ribosomal RNA (500 nucleotides) under uncultured bacterium. Its description in RNAcentral is "bacterial SSU rRNA". It matches the Rfam family "Bacterial small subunit ribosomal RNA", at positions 15 to 518 of the family's 1533-position model. The record is from RNAcentral.
GAUCCUGGCUCAGGAUGAACGCUGGCGGCGUGCUUAACACAUGCAAGUCGAACGGAGCUUAAGAAGGAAGCUUGCUUUCAUUUAAGCUUAGUGGCGGACGGGUGAGUAACGCGUGAGCAACCUGCCCUUCAGUGGGGAAUAACACCGAGAAAUCGGUGCUAAUACCGCAUAAUGUCGGAGGACCGCAUGAUCUUCCGACCAAAGGAUUUAUUCGCUGAAGGAUGGGCUCGCGUCCGAUUAGGCAGUUGGCGGGGUAACGGCCCACCAAACCAACGAUCGGUAGCCGAACUGAGAGGUUGAUCGGCCACAUUGGGACUGAGACACGGCCCAGACUCCUACGGGAGGCAGCAGUGGGGAAUAUUGGGCAAUGGGCGAAAAAGCCUGACCCAGCAACGCCGCGUGAAGGAUGAAGGUCUUCGGAUUGUAAACUUCUUUGAUUGGGGAAGAAAAAAUGACCUACCCAAAGAACAAGUCACGGCUAACUACGUGCCAGCAGCGGC